Non-coding RNA from Carassius gibelio (silver crucian carp), 1363 nucleotides. Lineage: Eukaryota; Metazoa; Chordata; Actinopteri; Cypriniformes; Cyprinidae. The record is from the annotation of a RefSeq genome assembly.
AUGCACAUCAAUACUAUUGUAUGUGAAUACUAUUAUUGUUAUUUACUUACACUAUACUCUGUAAGUCCGCGACCAAAUGUUGAUUUAAAAACAAUUCAGCUUGAUUACAGUAUGUAUAGGCACGCCAAGUGAAUAUGCUUUACCACCAAAAUAAACAUCAUCCCUAAAUUUAUUCUGUGUAGAUAUGCACACCUAAACAGAGAUUAUAAAAAGUGCUAUAACAAAAACAAAAAUAAUAAAGAAUUAAUACAGAUUAUAUUGAAAAAUUCUUUAUCAUACAAUAGCGUUUGUAAGUAACCACAAGAGGGCGCAAUGUACUAUAGGACACGAAUGACAGUGGUGUAUGAAACAGAUUUGAGCUGCAUUUCCCUAAAGCUUUGUAAACUUAAGUACAUCAUAGACUCAAUAAAACCAAUGAAUCUGGGAGGUGGGGUUUAAAACAUGGAUAUCUGACGUUGUUGAAAAACUGCAAGUCUGUUAGAGAGAGAAUAAGAAACACACACAAUGAUUCUCAAUUCUGUAAUUCUGCUUUUUGCCUUUGCAUAUGCAGCAUAUGGAAAUGAAAUUAAACCUACCAAAACUUUGGAGUUUGCUGAGGAGGGUUCAAGUGUUACAUUAUCCUACAGUUAUUCAUCUGCAUUAACUCUCUACUGGUACCGUCAGUAUCCCGGAUCGGCUCCUGAGUUUAUUGUGUUCAUCUCAGGCAGUGCAAAAGAUGAUCAGGAAUCUAUUGUAGAUCCCAGAUUCACUGCCAAAGUCACCAAAGACAAAGAAAACCAUGUGGAUCUGAAGAUCUCCUCUGUAUCUAUAACAGACUCUGCUCUGUACUACUGCGCUCUGCAGCCCACAGUGACAGGAAACACAAGAACACUGUACAAAAACCUGGUUCACAGUAUUGCAUCUACAUCACACAUAUCCAAGCUCCAUAUCUGCUGUAACACAAGGGAACUACCCUCUAAUCAGUAAAAACAGUAUAGAUUGUCAUUCACAAUCACAACAUAAAAAAUAUAUAACAUGCAGGGUUAAAGAUUAAAAAACAAAGGUUUAAAAAUGUUAAAAGAUGCUUCUCCAGAUAUUCAUAACAUUUUAUACAGCAACCAUGUUAAAAGGGUGAUAAAAUCAUAUUUAUAUGCAUUUUCUUUUUCCCAGCUGCAGGAAAGAAGGGUUUAUAUCUGAGGGUAUUUUAAUGAACCUGACAGAGACUGAGUCAUAAGAUCAUUUAAACUCAGACUGUAAGCAUGCAGUACAUUCAAUGAUAUGAUGCUCUAGUGGUUAAUAAACAGAACUGCUUGCGGAAGGACAUUGUAGCCGGAGCUACUUCUCUCUGUUUAUGUCUAUGAAGAAUCACAAAGGUUACUCCGCC